This 253-nucleotide ribosomal RNA is filed under the name uncultured bacterium. RNAcentral describes it as "partial 16S ribosomal RNA". It matches the Rfam family "Bacterial small subunit ribosomal RNA", at positions 524 to 776 of the family's 1533-position model. The record is from RNAcentral.
GACGAACCGAGCGAACGUUGUUCGGAAUCACUGGGCUUAAAGGGCGCGUAGGCGGGUGCUCAAGUCCGGGGUGAAAUCCUCCAGCUCAACUGGAGAACUGCCUCGGAUACUGGGUGCCUCGAGGGUGGCAGGGGUAUGCGGAACUAUCGGUGGAGCGGUGAAAUGCGUUGAUAUCGAUAGGAACUCCGGUGGCGAAGGCGGCAUACUGGUCCACUUCUGACGCUGAGGCGCGAAAGCCAGGGGAGCAAACAGG